This 468-nucleotide ribosomal RNA is filed under the name uncultured bacterium. Its description in RNAcentral is "partial 16S ribosomal RNA". It matches the Rfam family "Bacterial small subunit ribosomal RNA", at positions 28 to 507 of the family's 1533-position model. The record is from RNAcentral.
GACGAACGCUGGCGGCGUGCUUAACACAUGCAAGUCGAACGGAAAGGCCCUGCUUUUGUGGGGUUCUCGAGUGGCGAACGGGUGAGUAACACGUGAGUAACCUGCCCUUGACUUUGUGAUAACUUCAGGAAACUGGGGCUAAUACCGGAUAGGAGCUCCUGCUGCAUGGUGGUGGUUGGAAAGUUUCGGCGGUUGGGGAUGGACUCGCGGCUUAUCAGCUUGUUGGUGGGGUAGUGGCUUACCAAGGCUUUGACGGGUAGCCGGCCUGAGAGGGUGACCGGCGACAUUGGGACUGAGAUACGGCCCAGACUCAUACGGGAGGCAGCAGGGGGGAAUAUUGCACAAUGGGCGGAAGCCUGAUGCGGCAACGCCGCGUGCGGGAUGACGGCCUUCGGGUUGUAAACCGCUUUCGCCUGUGACGAAGCGUGAGUGACGGUAAUGGGUAAAGAAGCACCGGCUAACUACGUG